This is a long non-coding RNA of Dicentrarchus labrax (European seabass), 290 nucleotides long. RefSeq lists it as uncharacterized. The record is from RefSeq and is a predicted model, not a curated record. The transcript has 3 exons. NCBI's taxonomy places the organism in Eukaryota, Metazoa, Chordata, Actinopteri, Moronidae.
AUAUUAAUCCUGUUCAUAAGCUCUGCAACAUUUAGACAUGUCACACUCAUCAUUCCUUACACCUGAGGCCCAGUUCUUAUAGCCGACGACCUCGUCACUGACCCAGAACCAGAAUUCCAGGGUGCAGGUGUAGCGCAGUCCCAGCCAGACAAAAGGAGUUGAGGCGUUCUUGGCUUUCUGUUGGAUCCAUCUCUGCUCCUUAAGACAUGUCACAGUCAUCAUUCCUUCCACCUGAGGCCCAGUUCUUAUAGCCGACGACCUCGUCACUGACCCAGAACCAGAAUUCCAGG